This 299-nucleotide ribosomal RNA is filed under the name uncultured bacterium. RNAcentral describes it as "partial 16S ribosomal RNA". It matches the Rfam family "Bacterial small subunit ribosomal RNA", at positions 29 to 353 of the family's 1533-position model. The record is from RNAcentral.
AACGAACGCUGGCGGCAGGCUUAACACAUGCAAGUCGAACGGUUGUAGCAAUACAGCAGUGGCAGACGGGUGAGUAACACGUGGGAACCUUCCUAGGGGUACGGAACAACUCAGGGAAACUUGAGCUAAUACCGUAUACGUCCGUGAGGAGAAAGUUUUAACGCCCCUAGACGGGCCCGCGUAGGAUUAGGUAGUUGGUGAGGUAACGGCUCACCAAGCCUACGAUCCUUAGCUGAUCUGAGAGGANGAUCAGCCACACUGGGACUGAGACACGGCCCAGACUCCUACGGGAGGCAGCA